This 286-nucleotide ribosomal RNA is filed under the name uncultured bacterium. RNAcentral's name for it is "partial 16S ribosomal RNA". It matches the Rfam family "Bacterial small subunit ribosomal RNA", at positions 28 to 293 of the family's 1533-position model. The record is from RNAcentral.
GAUGAACGCUGGCGGCGUGCUUAACACAUGCAAGUCGAACGGGGUGCUCAUGACGGAGGAUUCGUCCAACGGAUUGAGUUACCUAGUGGCGGACGGGUGAGUAACGCGUGAGGAACCUGCCUUGGAGAGGGGAAUAACACUCCGAAAGGAGUGCUAAUACCACAUGAUGCAGUUGGGUCGCAUGGCUCUGACUGACCAAAGUAUUUAUCGCUCUGAGAUGGCCUCGCGUCUGAUUAGCUAGUAGGCAGGGUAACGGCCCACCCAGGCGACGAUCAGUAGCCGGACU